CGCGGCUCAGCAUGUUAGGCAUGUAUUUGUUUGAUUAUACAGAGACUUUUUUACCGUUCAUCCACUCUACAUGUCCUCUGCAGGAGGAGGAUGAAGAAGACAUUAUAACAAAAUUCAUAGAUUUACAGGAUCCAACAUGGACACAGUGGCGUGAGUUUCUUGUCAAAUACGUGUUUCUUCCAUAUCUACUUCUUGCUGAGUUUGCAUGGGACUGGCUAGAAAUACAUUACUGGACUUCUCGAUUUAUAAUUCUAAAGGCCAUGAUUAAUUCAAGACGGGAGUUACAUUCAUUUUAUUUACUGUGGAGGGACAGACAAAGAUGGUUCGACUCUCAACUUUUUUUGCGCCUUUUGUGGGUUAUAUCAAACAAUGGAUUUUAUCUUUUCAUCUUAUGGACUAUAACCCCACAAUUUAUCUAUAACUAUGUGUUUUACUUCUCAUUGUAUAUCUACCCAUUCAUUUACAUUUACGAAGUGGUGGUAAAGUUCC
This is a long non-coding RNA of Bufo gargarizans (Asiatic toad), 489 nucleotides long. RefSeq lists it as uncharacterized. The record is from RefSeq and is a predicted model, not a curated record. Lineage: Eukaryota; Metazoa; Chordata; Amphibia; Anura; Bufonidae. The transcript has 3 exons.